This 497-nucleotide ribosomal RNA is filed under the name uncultured bacterium. RNAcentral describes it as "partial 16S ribosomal RNA". It matches the Rfam family "Bacterial small subunit ribosomal RNA", at positions 28 to 507 of the family's 1533-position model. The record is from RNAcentral.
GACGAACGCUGGCGGCGUGCCUAAUACAUGCAAGUUGAGCGAUGAAGAUUGGUGCUUGCACCAAUUUGAAGAGCAGCGAACGGGUGAGUAACGCGUGGGGAAUCUGCCUUUGAGCGGGGGACAACAUUUGGAAACGAAUGCUAAUACCGCAUAACAACUUUAAACAUAAGUUUUAAGUUUGAAAGAUGCAAUUGCAUCACUCAAAGAUGAUCCCGCGUUGUAUUAGCUAGUUGGUGAGGUAAAGGCUCACCAAGGCGAUGAUACAUAGCCGACCUGAGAGGGUGAUCGGCCACAUUGGGACUGAGACACGGCCCAAACUCCUACGGGAGGCAGCAGUAGGGAAUCUUCGGCAAUGGACGAAAGUCUGACCGAGCAACGCCGCGUGAGUGAAGAAGGUUGUCGGAUCGUAAAACUCUGUUGGUAGAGAAGAACGUUGGUGAGAGUGGAAAGCUCAUCAAGUGACGGUAACUACACAGAAAGGGACGGCUAACUACGUG